RNAcentral lists this ribosomal RNA (254 nucleotides) under uncultured bacterium. RNAcentral's name for it is "partial 16S ribosomal RNA". It matches the Rfam family "Bacterial small subunit ribosomal RNA", at positions 524 to 776 of the family's 1533-position model. The record is from RNAcentral.
UACGGGGGGAGCAAGCGUUGUUCGGAUUUACUGGGCGUAAAGGGCGCGUAGGCGGCCAGCACAGGUCAGUUGUGAAAUCUCCGAGCUUAACUCGGAAAGGUCAACUGAUACUGUGCGGCUAGAGUGCGGAAGGGGCAACUGGAAUUCUUGGUGUAGCGGUGAAAUGCGCAGAUAUCAGGAGGAACACCGGUGGCGAAGGCGGGUCCCUGGGCCGAUACUGACGCUGAGGAGCGAAAGCGUGGGGAGCGAACAGG